Solanum lycopersicum (tomato) is the source of this 372-nucleotide non-coding RNA. Lineage: Eukaryota; Viridiplantae; Streptophyta; Magnoliopsida; Solanales; Solanaceae. The record is from RefSeq and is a predicted model, not a curated record.
AGAGAGAGAGACAGCGCUCUAAAUCAUGAAAAGCACUAAAAAUAUUACUAAGUUCACAAUCAUAUAUGUAUAUGUAUAUAUAUAUUUAGGUUGAUGUUGAUAUUUUGUUGCACUUAAUUUUACUAUCCUUUUCUUGUUUGGUUUCAGUGCUAAAUGAUAUUUGUUUGUGCUGAUUUUCCCCUUUUUACAAGCUCCAGAAGAUAUGCUUCCUCCAAAUGCUAGCAGUACAUUGUAUGUAGAGGGUUUGCCUGAGGACUGUACAACAAGAGAGGUGGCACACAUAUUCCGCCAUUUUGGAGGUUACAAAGAAGUUAGGCUCGUACCAGAACCAUCAAUAUAUCCUGGAGUCAACACCUUGAUUCAUUGCUUUGU